AUCUUUUACAUGUAUAGUUAUAAGUCAUUUGUAAAAGUUUUAUAAAAUCUUAUUCAUUUUUAAUAGUUUUUGAGAGGUUUAACUGGUCAAUGAUAAAGCUAUGAAAAAUCAAAAGAGAACAUUUUCCCGCCAUAAUUCCAAUGGCUAAUAUCUCUAAAACAAGCACAUUGACCCCUAUAUUUUUUUUGAUUCCUCAAUUAAAUCCCUAUCAGUAUAUACUAGUUUUGUGGAAAGUUAUUUAUUUUGAAACUGAGCAG
This 257-nucleotide long non-coding RNA is filed under the name Mytilus galloprovincialis (Mediterranean mussel). Lineage: Eukaryota; Metazoa; Mollusca; Bivalvia; Mytilida; Mytilidae. The record is from RNAcentral.